This is a long non-coding RNA of Balaenoptera musculus (blue whale), 1037 nucleotides long. RefSeq lists it as uncharacterized. NCBI's taxonomy places the organism in Eukaryota, Metazoa, Chordata, Mammalia, Artiodactyla, Balaenopteridae. The transcript is spliced from 2 exons. The record is from RefSeq and is a predicted model, not a curated record.
GAAACCUGCCUGAGCUUUAAGAUGGCUUUCUCUGGAGAGUCUCAGGCAAAAGUCACAAUUCUCAGGGCUGCUGUGGGCAGCCCACCCAAGCACACAGAAUGGUGCCUGCCAUCCAGUCAGGGCUCAAUAAAUGCUGCCGGUGUACAUGUUUCCUGAGAGCAUCUGCUGACUCAAAAUCCACUCUUUCAGGGCGACAACCAUAUAUUCACACCGUAGCUGAGUGGGUGUUAGCUGGUAAGUGUGGUUGGGCCCCAGUGAAACCAGGAGUUGGAGCGACCACAGCACGGUCUCCCCACUGUCCCAGGAGGUGAGGAGGCGGGGGAGAUGACUGGCCUCAGGUAUAGCUGGCUCAAUCCUCCCCCCUGCCUCCAAGGGGGCUCAAACCCUGCCUGGCACACAGCGGGCCCUCAGGAAAUACUCAAUGACCCACCACCAGGGCACUGCUGUUGGGGAGGGUUGACACUGUGAAUGUGGGAGAAAAACAAUUUAACCAGCGAGACGGCAGGACAAAGGGAGGGGUAGGGGCACAUCAAGUUCAUGCACAGACCUCCUGGGCCAGAGGGUCCAUGGGCUCCAUCGGGGGUCUCCGCGAAGCAGGGCUGAGCUAGGGGCCUUCCUGUUUCCUGAGCCCUUCCUCGCCUUUCCUGAGGGUCAAGCCAUCCUCUUUUCUGUGGCAACCCUCCUGAAAAGCAGGGCUUUUGACUAAGUCAGUGGUUUUGUUUUUUUCUUGCAGUAAUACAUCUUCCUAAUGCACUCUGACACAAAGCCCCAGGACACAAACCGAAACUCGGGUGGGAGCCAUUAGCCUUUACGUGGACCUUCUACACCUGGUGGCACCCUCUCCCUGCCUUCUCCCCCAUCUGGCCCGUGCGGGACUGCCAGGCGGCCCUCUCCCCGUGUCAUCCUUUUAACAACAUCAGCAAGAGACUCGCAAUGGACACUGCCUCGUUUCUUUAUUCCGGCCUUUGGGAGGGACAGUGACAGCAUUUCCCGCCUUGACGGAAGGCGAAACCUGGUCUUUCCUUGUAAAGAAAGAA